AAUUCGUUGCCAGCUCUUUUAGGAAUCAAUUUGGAUCGAUUUAAUCAAUUCGUUGUUGCAGCACUAGUUUCAACGCUUUGUGACAAGUU
Molecule: long non-coding RNA, 89 nt
Organism: Sphaeramia orbicularis (orbiculate cardinalfish)
Lineage: Eukaryota; Metazoa; Chordata; Actinopteri; Kurtiformes; Apogonidae
Exons: 3
Source: RefSeq, a predicted model, not a curated record